Candidatus Scalindua brodae is the source of this 74-nucleotide non-coding RNA. The record is from Rfam. Lineage: Bacteria; Pseudomonadati; Planctomycetota; Candidatus Brocadiia; Candidatus Brocadiales; Candidatus Scalinduaceae.
GCGCCCGUAGCUCAGAUGGAUAGAGCAACGGUUUCCUAAAUCGUAGGUCAGAGGUUCAAAUCCUCUCGGGCGUA